This is a non-coding RNA of Nicotiana tabacum (common tobacco), 607 nucleotides long. The record is from RefSeq and is a predicted model, not a curated record. Lineage: Eukaryota; Viridiplantae; Streptophyta; Magnoliopsida; Solanales; Solanaceae.
CUUUGCAAAUGCAACCAUACAAAUCUGGAUUAGUUGGACCAGUGAGCUGCCGAUAACACAUGGUUAUACUUAAAAAUGAAAAAACUGACCCUAACCAGCUUCUUCAAGAUCCUUAGCCCAAAAAUCUGUUUGCUUUCUAAAACCAUUUUUGCCAAACUAAGUUCCAUGCUCUUGCUCUCCAUCACUUCUCUUCCGUGCAUUCAAAUGGUGUUCGAAAUGUCGACUUUGGGCCAAGUGAUUCACGCCCUUUUACAUGAAUAUUCUGGUUUGUUUUAAGCGUGUAUGUGUUCUCUGUUUUGGUAGAUUUGCGUGCCAAGUCAUUGUUUACCUAGAGCCGCCGUGUUAUUUGAUGAAAUUCCUGUGAUGAACACUGCUCUGAAUUUCUUGACAAUGCAAAACCAUUUCUAAGGACUUUCUUUUCCCCGAGCUUAUACAAAAUGACAACAAAAUGUAAAACAGUACCAAGGGAAAAGACAUCACCAUUCAUUUCCAUGAUAAUGUUCAUUUAUCAGCCAGUGCAUCUUUUGUGGCUUUGUUUGUGGAGACGAUGAUGUUCGUGGCCUGGUUCGUGGGCUGAAAUGGCUCCACGAUUCAGAUCGUGGAGCUG